Molecule: ribosomal RNA, 200 nt
Filed under: uncultured eukaryote
Lineage: Eukaryota
Description: partial 18S ribosomal RNA
Rfam family: Eukaryotic small subunit ribosomal RNA
Source: RNAcentral
GCUCCAAUAGCGUAUAUUAAAGUUGUUGCGGUUAAAAAAGCUCGUAGUUGGAUUUCUGCCGAGGACGAACGGUCCACACUUCGUGUGCGUAUCUGUCUCUUCCUGGGCAUCUUCUUGGAGAACGUUGCUGCACUUGAUUGUGUGGUGCGGUAUCCAGGACAUUUACUUUGAGGAAAUUAGAGUGUUUCAAGCAGGCAUUU